This 200-nucleotide ribosomal RNA is filed under the name uncultured bacterium. Its description in RNAcentral is "partial 16S ribosomal RNA". It matches the Rfam family "Bacterial small subunit ribosomal RNA", at positions 28 to 229 of the family's 1533-position model. The record is from RNAcentral.
GAUGAACGCUGGCGGCGUGCUUAACACAUGCAAGUCGAACGAUGAUCCCAGCUUGCUGGGGGAUUAGUGGCGAACGGGUGAGUAACACGUGGGUAACCUGCCCUUGACUCUGGGAUAAGCCUGGGAAACUGGGUCUAAUACCGGAUACGACCAUCUGGCGCAUGUCAUGGUGGUGGAAAGCUUUUGUGGUUUUGGAUGGA